This 302-nucleotide ribosomal RNA is filed under the name uncultured bacterium. RNAcentral describes it as "partial 16S ribosomal RNA". It matches the Rfam family "Bacterial small subunit ribosomal RNA", at positions 508 to 807 of the family's 1533-position model. The record is from RNAcentral.
GCAGUCGCCACGGGAAUACGAAGGGGGCUAGCGUUGUUCGGAUUUACUAGGCGUAAAGGGCGCGUAGGCGGACUGAUAAGUCAGGGGUGAAAUCCCAAGGCUCAACCUUGGAACUGCCUUUGAUACUGUUUGUCUUGAGUUCGAGAGAGGUAAGUGGAACUGCGAGUGUAGAGGUGAAAUUCGUAGAUAUUCGCAAGAACACCAGCGGCGAAGGCGGCUUACUGGCUCGAAACUGACGCUGAGGCGCGAAAGCGUGGGGAGCAAACAGGAUUAGAUACCCCCGUAGUCCCUGUCUCUUAUAC